UACAGGGGGUGCAAACGUUGCUCGGAAUCAUUGGGCGUAAAGCGCACGUAGGCGGUUCGUUAUGUCGGAUGUGAAAGCCCUUGGCUUAACCGAGGAAGUGCAUCCGAAACUGGCGAGCUAGAGUACUUAAGAGGAUCGCGGAAUUCCCGGUGUAGAGGUGAAAUUCGUAGAUAUCGGGAGGAACACCAGUGGCGAAGGCGGCGAUCUGGGAAGAUACUGACGCUGAGGUGCGAAAGCGUGGGGAGCAAACAGG
This 253-nucleotide ribosomal RNA is filed under the name uncultured bacterium. Its description in RNAcentral is "partial 16S ribosomal RNA". It matches the Rfam family "Bacterial small subunit ribosomal RNA", at positions 524 to 776 of the family's 1533-position model. The record is from RNAcentral.